AUUGAACGCUGGCGGCAGGCCUAACACAUGCAAGUCGAGCGGAUGAAGGGAGCUUGCUCCUGGAUUCAGCGGCGGACGGGUGAGUAAUGCCUAGGAAUCUGCCUGGUAGUGGGGGAUAACGUCCGGAAACGGGCGCUAAUACCGCAUACGUCCUGAGGGAGAAAGUGGGGGAUCUUCGGACCUCACGCUAUCAGAUGAGCCUAGGUCGGAUUAGCUAGUUGGUGGGGUAAAGGCCUACCAAGGCGACGAUCCGUAACUGGUCUGAGAGGAUGAUCAGUCACACUGGAACUGAGACACGGUUCAGACUCCUACGGGAGGCAGCAGUGGGGAAUAUUGGACAAUGGGCGAAAGCCUGAUCCAGCCAUGCCGCGUGUGUGAAGAAGGUCUUCGGAUUGUAAAGCACUUUAAGUUGGGGGAAGGGCAGUAAGUUAAUACCUUGCUGUUUUGACGUUACCAACAGAAUAAGCACCGGCUAACUUCGUG
Molecule: ribosomal RNA, 483 nt
Filed under: uncultured bacterium
Lineage: Bacteria
Description: partial 16S ribosomal RNA
Rfam family: Bacterial small subunit ribosomal RNA
Source: RNAcentral